Molecule: ribosomal RNA, 32 nt
Filed under: Cladosporium oxysporum
Lineage: Eukaryota; Fungi; Ascomycota; Dothideomycetes; Cladosporiales; Cladosporiaceae
Also listed under: 1 other name
Description: partial 18S ribosomal RNA
Source: RNAcentral
GUUUCCGUAGGUGAACCUGCGGAGGGAUCAUU